UCUUGCUUGUGAUCGUACCUGAAACAGAUAUGAACUUUUAGUGAGUUUUCAAUAGGAACAAGAACAGAAACAUGAUAUGAUUUCUUUUGGUUUUUUUAUGGAUUGGAUGAAUGAAAUCUAAAACAAAAGAUAGAGAAAAGAGUAGAUUGGCGGAUGGGAUCUGCUGCUGGACGUAUGUCUCUCUCAACAAGAUGCCUAGGUCGAUUAGGAAGAUAGAUAUGGAUCCGGCUCUUGCUGGACGUAUGUCUCUCUCAAGAUUCGGACAAGGAAUGGAAUGGAUCAAUGGACGCCACAAAGAACAAUGGAUCGGCUCUUUGAUAUGUCACACGGCUGCUCUCAAUGGUUUCGCACAACUGAAAGACUUAGGGUUUCUUUGCUAAAGCAAAAAUGUUUUCAUAAAAGACUUAGCCGAAAAGUUGGCAACUACAAGGGUUUAAAUAGAUGUUCCUUACUGGACUUUAAAGAUAAAAAGGGCCUAGACAAAUGGCCAAAGUCUUAACCGAAAUAAAAUAAAGAAAACAAUAGACCGGUCGCGGUUUGAGAUGUCCGGAUCAGAACUCAUAGUAUGCUUGCUUGUUGCCUCAUUAAAACCUUUCGGGAAAACCCAGUGGGACAAAACCUCGAUAAGGAAAAAGAGUACAACUCAUACUACUCCUUCUGAUGGUCGGCUAUAUCUCUGAACCGGAAGCAAGUUGGUUGGAUGGAUUGAGUAUGACGGUGGAAAUGGUCAGGCCGGCUUCAUUCUGGCCGAUGGAGGAGAACUGGCUCGAAUGGAAAGGGUCUGGAACCUCUAGUGGUUCACCGGUGUCUUCCAGCUUCAAGUCAGACUACUCCUGGACCUUGUGGUAGGACCUUUGCGGAUAAUGGGAACCUCAGUCGUGGGUACUACAACAUCCCCUCCCUCUUGACAGGUUCUGUCCUCAGAACAUCUCCGUCAUCUGCAAUAUAUGGAGACAAGUCAGACACACCGAACGUUCGGGAAACUUGGAACUCACCUGGCAGUUCUAGCUGGUAGGCAUUGUCAUUGAUCCGAUCGAGCACUCGGAAUGGUAUGUCCCCUCGUGGGGAUAAUUUGCUCUUCCUCUCUUCCGGAAACCGUUCUGGCCUCAUCUGGAGCCACACCCAGUCGCCUGGUUGGAAGAUAACUUCUGUGCACCCCUUGUUGAGCUUAAUCCGGUUCCUUUCAGCCUUCUUCUCCAAAGUCUCCUUGACUUGCCGGUGCAUGUUCUUCACAAACUCAGCCUUUUUGUCACCACUCUGGCUGACUUGCAUGGCUGGUGGCAAUGCGGCUAGGUCCAUGGGCGUCUCUAGUCUAAAGCCAUACACGAUCUCAAAAGGGGAGAGGUUAGUAAUAGAGUGCCUUGCAUGGUUAUAAGCAAACUCAAUGAAAGGCAAUCAACUCAACCAGUUUUUAAGAUUCUUACCCACCGUAGCCCUCAAUAACUGAGAGAGUGUACGGUUUACUACCUCGGUCUGUCCAUCAGUCUGUGGAUGGCAAGUGGUCGAGAAAAGGAGCUUGGUUCCAAGCUUUUUCCACAAUGUCCUCCAGAAGUGGCUGAGAAAUUUUGUGUCUCGACGUAGCGCCUCAUCCGGGGCCAAUAGAAGUGGUCGGACAGGACGCUCAGAGUUUUGUCCCGACCAAAAUGCCCCAUCAACCCACCCCCAUGAGCUUCUCUGGUCAGUAAAUCUCGCAUGGAACCAUGAGGAAUACACAGGCGUUUCUCCUUGAAGAGGAACCCGUCCUGCUGAUAGAGUGGACCCAUGGCUCCCUUAGCCGUGUUACUGUAAAGCUCAGGAAAAUCAGGGUCAGUUUCAUAAGACAUUUUGAGUUGCUCAGAACCCAUGAUCUUAGCCUUCAUGGUGGUAAUGAGUGUGUGGCGCCGGGAUAGGGCGUCGGCCACUACGUUGUCCUUUCCCUUCUUGUACUUGAUCACAUAAGGAAAAGUUUCCACUAACUCCAGCCACCUAGCAUGCCUCUUCUUGAGUGUGGUCUGGCCCCUCAAAUGCUUAAGAGUCUCAUGAUCUGUAUGAAUAAUAAACUCUUUAGACAAAAGAUAAUGUUGCCAAGUUUCAAGCGACCGUACUAGAGCAUAUAGCUCUUUAUCAUAGGUGGGGUAAUUGAGGGCGGCUCCACUCAAUUUCUCACUGAAGAAGGCCACUGGCCGGCCUACUUGGGUCAGUACGGCUCCUAUCCCUGUCCCUUAAGCAUCACACUCAAUCUCAAAAGGUUUAUCAAAGUUAGGAAGAGUUAGAACCGGUGCAUGUGUCAAACUAUAUUUAAGCCUGUUGAAAGACUCCUCUUGGGCAGGGCCCCAAGCAAAGGUUACAUUCUUCUUGAUCACGGAGGUCAUUGGGGCGGCAAUGGUACUGAAGUCCUUCACAAAUCGUCGAUAGAAACUGGCCAGUCCAUGGAAGCUGCGGAUAUGUCCGAUCGUGGUCGGGGUCGGCCAGUCUUGUAUCGCCUUGAUCUUCUCCUCAUCAACCUUCAGUCCCUGUGAACUCACAACAAAGCCUAAAAAUACCAACUGAUCAGUGCAGAAUACACAUUUCUUAAGGUUAGCAUAAAGGCCUUCUUGCCUUAAGGCUUUCAAAACCUGUUCUAGGUGUCCCAUGUGUUCAGUUAAAGACCUGCUGUAAAUCAAGAUAUCAUCAAAGUAUACAACCACGAAUUUACCAAUGUAAGGUCGGAGGACCUCAUUCAUGAGUCUCAUGAAGGUACUAGGGGCGUUGGUAAGGCCAAACGGCAUCACCAGCCACUCGUAUAGACCUUGCAUGGUCUUGAAGGCGGUUUUCCACUCAUCUCCUUCCUUCAUGCGGACUUGAUGGUAUCCACUCCUGAGAUCAAUCUUAGAAAACACAACAGACCCACUCAGUUCAUCCAACAUAUCAUCUAAUCUGGGUAUAGGGGACCGAUAUUUGAUGGUUAUGUUGUUGAUGGCUCGGCAGUCCACACACAUGCGCCACGUCCCAUCCUUCUUAGGCACUAGUAGGACCGGGACCGCACAGGGACUAAGGCUCUCGCGGAUGUAGCCUUUGUCCAUGAGAUCUUGGACCUGCCGUUCCAGCUCCUUAGCUUCCUCAGGGUUGACACGGUAAGCGGCUCGGUUUGGUGGUGGCGCGCCGGGUACAAGAUCAGUCUGAUGUUCUAUGCCACAGACAGGGGGUAAACCGGCCGGAAUCUCAUCAGGGAAGACAUCCUUGUAACGUCCCAUGAGGUCUUGUACUACGUCCGGUACUUCAGGAGCUUCUAAACCUGCAAAACAACCCUCCUUAAAGAUCAUUAGUAGCACCUGUGUCUCACGUUGUAAUGAUUUAAGUACUUGUCCGGAAGUCAUGUAAAGGUUAGUGUUACUUACCUGGCCGGACUGCGUCAUUGCCUUCUGCAUAUCAUGAACUUCUUGAGGGCUGAGAGGUGCUAGGCUGUGCUUCUUGUUGUUGUCGACGAAACUGUAGAUGUUGGUGCGGCCAUGGUGAAGUGUCUCCUUGUCAAACUGCCACGGCCUUCCUAAAAGUAUAUGGCCGGCUUGCAUGGGCACAACAUCACACUUGACCUGGUCUUGGUACUUGCCAAUACUGAAGGACACAACAACUUGUUCGGCAAUCUUGAGCUCAGUCUCAUAAUUGAGCCAUUUGAGACGGUAUGGUCGAGGAUGGGCUGUUUUGACCAACCCUAGCUUAUCAACAAGAUACUUGCUAGCCACGUUAGUACAAGAUCCGCCAUCUAUGAUCAAACUACAUACCUUGUGAUCAACACUACAUCUGGUGUGGAAGAUGUUCUCCCGCUGGAUGGUCUCUGGGUCAAAGAGGGUGCUAAGAGCUCUCCGGGUCACUAGCAGCUCGCCGGUCUCCGGGUAGUCGGUUACUUCCUCAUCAGAGAUCACUGCCGCGGCCUCUGUCUCAUCUUGGGAUUCAUACUCGCCAUCCCCCUUAAGGACCAUCACUCGUUUGUUUGGACAAUCCCGAGCGUAGUGGCCCUUGCCCUGACACUUAUAGCAAAUGUUGUCACGAGUACGCAAUGAUUGGGCUUGAGUCUUACCCUGCUUCGGUUUGGAUGCAUUAGACGAUUCUGCCUGGUUUGUCUUGAAUCGGCUCUCAAUCUCAAUCGUCUUGCCCUUGUCGCCUUGCUUUGAGCCCGGUUGAGUCCACGCAGGUUUGCUGCGGUUGGUGCUGGCCAUCUUGCGCUUGAUGUGCUGCUCGGCUUGCGUAGCAAAGUGCAACAGGUCGUUGAAGUCUUCAUACUGUUGCCUCUCCACCUUGCGGGCAAUGCGGUCUUGCAGCCCUUCCUGAAAUUGGGACAUCAUUGUCUCUUCGGGCUCGUCGGUCUCAAGCUUAUUCCUAAGUGCCUCGAACUCCUCAAAGUACUCCUCCACAGUCUUAGUUCCCUGCGUAAGUUUACGAAAACGUUUUAGCACAUCACGCUGGCCCGGACAUAGCAACGUCUCGAUCCCACCACGAAAGAGCAUUGUCCGUCAGCUGGGCUGCUGCUAGGGCAACCUUUUGGCCUCACUAUAUUGGUAAUAGUCGAAGAUGUACUCCAUGCGCUUCUCCCACACGAUGUAGGCAUCCGGAUCAACCUUGCCAGCAAACGUUGGGGGAUGAAGCUUAAGCGCCUUGCCUCCCAACCAAGGCUCUUCCUCCUCUCGGUCUCGACCUCCUCUAUGGUCGCGGCCUCCUCCUACUUGGGCCCGGGGUCCUCGCGCGUUCCUCCUCCCUCCCCGGUUUGGCCUCUCCUCGUCCUGACUGCGCGUAUCAUCGGUACUGUCCGCGUCCGAGUCAGUGUCAUGCGGAUCAGGCUGAUUCCUUCCUGGUGGUCGAGGUCCGUUGGGCCUGCCUCCCUGCCGUAGCUGAGCAAGCUCGGCAGUUAUAGCCCUAAGGCUCGCCCUCAACUCUUCAUUGUCGGCUAGGAGCUGAGCGUUUAUGGCCGCUUAAUCUUGACCUACAUCUCAUAUAGUUUCUCUGAAAAAUACUCAAAGAAAAAUUAGAGGCAAGAGGGGAUUAAAUAGUAGCUUGGGUCGGAUACUUGAGUAUCGACCAAGACUAGGAGUAAAUGCAAAAAUUUAUGAUAAAAAUCGGAUCAAGUUUGAAAAAGGAAAGAGGAAUAUUUUUUAUUUUUGAUUUUCCGAAAACUUGGAAAGAAAGUGAAACUUCUUUUAAUUUUUUUUAAAUGCAAAAAUCGAAAACUUGGAUAACAAUCCGAAAAUUUAAAAAUAAGGAAAGUAAAUAUAUAUAUAUUUUUUUGAAUUGUGACGGCUAGGGUUCAGAAAGAACUGAGUUUUGCAGGAAACUUCAGCUCUGAUACCAAAAGUUGUAGGCACGGGUCGGAGGGUCGAACGACGGACGGACGGAUGGCUGUUCCGCGGUUCAGCCUUGCCUCGGAUGGAUGGUAUUGGCCGGUUCGUCUCUUGCUUGUAAUCGUACCUGAAACAGAUAUGAACUUUUAGUGAGUUUUCAAUAGGAACAAGAACAGAAACAGGAUAUGAUUUCUUUUGGUUUUUUUAUGGAUUGGAUGAAUGAAAUGUAAAACAAAAGAUAGAGAAAAGAGUAGAUUGGCGGAUGGAAUCUGCUGCUGGACGUAUGUCUCUCUCAACAAGAUGCCUAGGUCGGUUAGGAAGAUAGAUAUGGAUCUGGCUCUUGCUGGACAUAUGUCUCUCUCAAGAUUCGGACAAGGAAUGGAAUGGAUCGAUGGGCGCCACAAAGAACAAUGGAUCGGCUCUUUGAUAUGUCACACGGCUGCUCUCAAUGGUUUCGCACAACUGAAAGACUUAGGGUUUCUUUGCUAAAGCAAAAAACGUUUUCAUAAAAGACUUAGCCGAAAAGUUGGCAACUACAAGGGUUUAAAUAGGUGUUCCUUACUGGACAUUAAAGAUAAAAAGGGCCUAGACAAAUGGCCAAAGUCUUAACCGAAAUAAAAUAAAGAAAACAAUAGACCGGUCGCGGUUUGAGAUGUCUGGAUCAGAACUCAUAGUAUGCUUGCUUGUUGCCUCAUUAAAAACUUUCGGGAAAACCCAGUGGGACAAAACCUCGAUAAGGAAAAAGAGUACAACACAUACUACUCCUUCUGAUGGUCGGCUAUAUCUCUGAACCGGAAGCAAGUUGGUUGGAUGGAUUGAGUAUGAAGGUAGAAAUGGUCAGGCCGGCUUCAUUCUGGCCGAUGGAGGACAACUGGCUCGAAUGGAAAGGGUCUGGAACCCCUAGUGGUUCACUGGUGUCUUCCAGCUUCAAGUCAGACAACUCCUGGAUCAAUAGUUACUUGAACCCGGUUUGUUCUUGUGCAAGCAACUCCUGGACAGCUUUGGCAAAUCCAGCUCUUAUAACUCUUGAACCGGACCUUGUGGUAAGACCUUUGCUUAUAAUGGGAACCUCAGUCGUGGGUACUACAACAGUUCAGUAAACACAGGACGUCUGUGGGUAUCCGUCAGCAUACACAGGACGUCCGUGGGUGUCCGUCAGCACACACAGGACGUCUGUGGCUGUCCAUCAGUACACAUAUCAGCACGUUGGUCCUUGGACUCAUCACGCUGACCCUUCCCGUGGACUGUUCGGGUGAUUUUAGCCCACGUGGGCUGUCGGUUCAGUACACACAGGACGUCUGUGGGUGUCCGCCAGCACACACAGGACGUCCGUGGCUGUCCCGUGUUUGUCUGUGUGUGUCCGUCAGCACACACAGGACGUCUGUGGCUAUCCAUCAGUACACAUAUCAGCACAUUGGUCCUUGGACUCAGCAACGCUGACCCUUCCCGUGGACUGUUCGGGUGAUUUUAAGCCCACGUGGGCUGUCUGUUCAGUACACACAGGACAUCUGUGGGUGUCCGACAGCACACACAGACAUCUGUGGCUGUCAGUGUGUGUCCGUGUGUGUCCAGUCAGCACACACAGGACGUCCGUGGCUGUCCAUCAGUACACAUAUCAGCACGCUGGUCCUUGGACUCAGCACACUGGCCCUUCCCGUGGACUUCUGGGUGAUUUUGGCCCACGUGGGCUGUCUGUUCAGUACACACAGGACGUCCGUGGCUGUCCAUGAGUACACAUAUCAGCACGCUGGUCCUUGACUCAGCACGCAGCCCUUCCUGUGGACUACUCGGGUGUUUUGGCCCAGGUGGCGUCGUCAGUACACACAAGUCAUCCGUGUGUCCGUCAGCACAAACAGAACGUCCGUUGGUGUCCGUCAGCACACACAGGAGCGUCUCUGUGGCUGUCCGUUGUGUGUCCGUGUGUGUCCGUCAGCACACACAGGACGUCCGUGGCUGUCCAUCAGUACACAUAUCAUCAUGUUGGUCCUUGGACUCAGCACGCUGACCCUUCUUGUGGACUGUUCGGGUGAUUUUGGCCCACGCGGGCUGUCUGUUCAGUACACACAGGACGUCCGUGGGUGUCCGCCAGCACUCACAGGACAUCCGGGUGUCCGCCAGCACACACAGAUGUCUGUGGCUGUCCGUGUGUGUCCGUCAGCACACACAGGACGUCCGUUCCAUCAGUACACAAUCAGCACGCUGGUCCUUGGACUCAGCACACUGGCCCUUCGCGUGGACUGUUUGGGUGAUUUUGGCCCACGUGGGCUGUCUGUUCAUGUUGUAGCAUGGGUCGGAGGGUCGAACGGACGGACGGAUGGCCGUUCCGCGGUUCAGCCUUGGCUCGGAUGGAUGGUAUUGCCGGUUCGUCUCUUGCUUGUGAUCGUACCUGAAACAGAUAUGAACUUUUAGUGAGUUUUCAAUAGAACAAGAACAGAAACAUGAUAUGAUUUCUUUUGGUUUUUUAUGGAUUGGAUGAUUGAAAUCUAAAACAAAAGAUAGAGAAAAGAGUAGUGGCGGAUGGGAUCUGCUGCUGGACGUAUGUCUCUCUCAACAAAGAUGCCUAGGUCGAUUAGGAAGAUAGAUAAUGGAUCCGGCUCUUGCUGGACGUAGUCUCUCUCAAGAUUCGGACAAGGAAUGGAAUGGAUCGAUGGACG
RNAcentral lists this long non-coding RNA (7945 nucleotides) under Brassica rapa (field mustard). Its description in RNAcentral is "long non-coding RNA (BRAP_LNC008542)". The record is from RNAcentral. Lineage: Eukaryota; Viridiplantae; Streptophyta; Magnoliopsida; Brassicales; Brassicaceae.